CCUACGGGAGGCAGCAGUAGGGAAUCUUCCGCAAUGGACGAAAGUCUGACGGAGCAACGCCGCGUGAGUGAAGAAGGUUUUCGGAUCGUAAAACUCUGUUGUUAAAGAAGAACAAGGAUGAGAGUAACUGCUCAUCCCCUGACGGUAUUUAACCAGAAAGCCACGGCUAACUACGUGCCAGCAGCCGCGGUAAU
This 194-nucleotide ribosomal RNA is filed under the name Firmicutes bacterium T3. RNAcentral describes it as "partial 16S ribosomal RNA". It matches the Rfam family "Bacterial small subunit ribosomal RNA", at positions 338 to 524 of the family's 1533-position model. Lineage: Bacteria; Bacillati; Bacillota. The record is from RNAcentral. RNAcentral also lists the same sequence under 1 other name.